UGCCUACAUUAUUAGUUUGACAUCUCCAUAUCCAUGACUUGUGAAACAUAGUUAUCAACUAAUACAUAUACUAGUCUAAUAUUCAUGUCUAUCCUCACAUGAACUCUGACUAGGGAGAACUUUAGAAUAACCAUACAAGUAAAGAGUUUCACAUACAAUUCACAUAAUUGCAGAUCAAUUCAAGUAGCCUUUAAUGAAUAUUCAAUGAACAUAAUAUACAAAUCAUGGAUACAAUCAGAUAUCAUCAUCUCAAUGAUUGCCGCUAGGUCAUACCUCCAACAGUCUCC
Molecule: long non-coding RNA, 287 nt
Filed under: Setaria viridis
Lineage: Eukaryota; Viridiplantae; Streptophyta; Magnoliopsida; Poales; Poaceae
Description: long non-coding RNA (SVIR_LNC004514)
Source: RNAcentral